UUGCAUUCCAGAUAGUAAUUAAGAUAGAGUAGUGACUAUUCUUGUACAUAGGAAAAUUAUUUCAUGUUAGGAUUGUUGAUUGAGACAACAUGCAUUAAUUCUGUCUUUCAUGUGUUUUUCUAUUUCUCCAGUGUUAUGACUCUUAGUUAAAACACAUAUUCCAUUAAAUUUUUGAUUUGACUCUAUCUUAUUAUCCUUAUUCCUUAAUGCUGUACAGAUAGGAGCUAUUAAUAUUUAAUUUGUUCACCUUCUGUUCAUGUAAUAUAAAUCAUAUUGAACUUUUUUUUUUUUUUUUUGCAGUUAAUUGAGUAAACUAUUUCAACAGCUACAAAUUUUAUUUCAUUUUCCACAAAUGACAUCAUCAAUAAUUUGCCUCUUCCAUUUCUAUUUUGAAUCCCAGCUAGCUUAAUUUCAUUACCUUUUUUCCCUCUCCAAGCCAAAAUAUAUGACCUUAAUAGAUUAUUAAUACAAAAUUAUGCAUACUUAUUGGCAGGGGAUAGUCUUGGUUUUACAUGUUAUCUGUUUAAGUUUUUAUCAGUGGAAGAAAUCACUUUUCUGAAAAGUGUCUUCAUCAACAUCUCCUGGCCUACCAUUCCUUGUUCAUGCACAACAUGUAAGUGAAUGAAAGCACUAUUUGUCUUUAUGUUCAUAUUUCCAUCAAGUUAAUUUCUAUUAACAACUUAAUACUACUUAUUCUAUCUUGAUUCAUAUUUUCCCUUCAAAGAAUUAAGGAAAAAACUAUAAAGAAAAAAAAAAUGUUGCCUUAAAGUUACUGGUCAUGAAUGUGCAUAGUAAUGGUGGAAUAGUUUCGCAUAAAAUCUGAUAAACUUGUGGGUGGCAGGUGAAUUCAUCCCACACCUGGCUCUGAACUUGGAGAGCUUUCAUUGCAUCACCAUGAUGGAAGCCGUUAACAACGGCAAGGAUCUUCACAUCUCCGUCACCAUGCCUUCCAUUGAGGUGAGGACAGUUUCAAGGGAGCAAGUAAGAGCACUAGGAAAAGCUGCUGAUGAUGUAAGUUGCAAUGGUUCACUUUGAAUAGUUUCUCCAUGCAAACUACAUUUUCAGAGGCAACUUAAAGAAGUGUUUUAAAGAGUUUGAAGUUGAAGCUAGAAAAAAGAAAGUUUGAAGAUGGGGUCAUGGUUGUGCUUUCUGAAUUUCCUUAACCGAUGUGAAAACUUCUAAUACAUUUUGAUGGGUUCUUUUGAGGAAACUUGUGGUUGUGUUCACUACUUUUGUGAAAAAUUAUUUUCAUUGUGUAUACUUCCUUUGUAAAAACUUGGUGUUCAGUACAGUAUUAUCUAUUAGUAGACAUGCAAUUUGGAUGGUAUUUUCAUAUUUGCAAA
Molecule: long non-coding RNA, 1343 nt
Organism: Cornus florida
Lineage: Eukaryota; Viridiplantae; Streptophyta; Magnoliopsida; Cornales; Cornaceae
Exons: 2
Source: RefSeq, a predicted model, not a curated record